UCGGAGAGAGCGAGCGGUGGCUAAUAAGCAGGGAAAAGAGUAGAAAAGUUGAUUUUGCAGUUGAAAAACAUAACUUACCUGGUCGGGAACUGACAGGGAUUUUAUGAGAACUAAGCCACACCGGUUUUAGUCAGUUUUUUUUUGGUGUUGAAGCUCGGUCGGAGCGAGGAUUGGUCUGCAGCGUGCAGGCGUGCAUAGACUGGAUUCAAGAUGGCGAGCCAGGCCCAGAUCUUCAAUUCAUCUUCUCCAUCGCACCAGUGAGGUGACUCGCUGCCAGAGUGACACGUGAGUGACCGGAUGUGUGUAUGACCAGAGGAGCGAAAAUCGUUCCAGCGUGGGCCCCUACCACCCCAAGGACACACAUCUACACAACAACACCCUGUGGAUUGCAGCCCUGGAGUACUCCAAGGCACCAGAGAGGUACUCUCUGUGGAGAGCUACCAUGUGGAGGACUGCUACAUAGGGCAAGAAGGCAGAGGUAGGGGGAAGUUCUAGCUCUGCA
Long non-coding RNA from Esox lucius (northern pike), 502 nucleotides. RefSeq lists it as uncharacterized. The transcript has 4 exons. The record is from RefSeq and is a predicted model, not a curated record. Lineage: Eukaryota; Metazoa; Chordata; Actinopteri; Esociformes; Esocidae.